RNAcentral lists this non-coding RNA (102 nucleotides) under bovine gut metagenome. RNAcentral's name for it is "THF riboswitch". It matches the Rfam family "THF (Tetrahydrofolate) riboswitch aptamer". From Rfam's summary of the family: THF riboswitch presents a pseudoknot that joins P1-P2 and the loop of P3 and two THF binding. The record is from RNAcentral. RNAcentral also lists the same sequence under 1 other name.
GCAGAGUAGGACAGGACGCGUCAAGUGCCGGAUGAACAGGGAGUUGUCAUCCGGACGAAAGGCCCCGAGGGGGCUUGCGGUGUCUUGUCCGCAUCCCGCUGC